GACGAACGCUGGCGGCGCGCUUAACACAUGCAAGUCGAGCGAAGCGGCGGACGGGUGAGUAACACGUGAGUAACCUGCCUUAGACAUUGGGAUAGCCUCGGGAAACCGGGAUUAAUACCAAAUGGUCUAAGAUGGACUCGCGUCCCAUUAGACUGGUGGUGAGGUAACGGCCCACCACGGCGACGUGGGGUAGCCUGCCUGUGAGGGUGAACGGCCACAUAUGAACUGACAAACGGUCCAAACUCUACGGGAGGCAGCAGUGGGGAAUAUUGCACAAUGGAGGGAUCUCUGAUGCAGCGACGCCGCGUGAACGAAGAAGGCUUUCGAGUCGGAAAGUUCUUUUAUAUGGGAAGCGGUACCAUAAGAAAAAGCCCCGGCUAACUACGUGCCAGCCGCCGCGGUAAUUC
This 407-nucleotide ribosomal RNA is filed under the name uncultured bacterium. RNAcentral's name for it is "partial 16S ribosomal RNA". It matches the Rfam family "Bacterial small subunit ribosomal RNA", at positions 28 to 526 of the family's 1533-position model. The record is from RNAcentral.